GAAAUGCGAUAAGUAAUGUGAAUUGCAGAAUUCAGUGAAUCAUCGAAUGUUUGAACGCACCUUGCGCUCCUUGGUCCUCUGAGGAGCAUAYCUGUUUGAGUGUCAUUAAAUUCUCAAAACUGCUAGAAGUGUUUUUGGUAGUUUUGGAUAUAUGGGAGGUGCAGGAUUAUGUUAURUAAGUCAGCUCUCCUGAAAAUGAUUAGCGCAGGGUUUACUGUUUAUUGGUGUGAUAAUAAAAAGUUGUCACUAGUAAAGUAGUAGGGCACUGGUCUGCUGUGCAAUGUAAUNGAUUUAUAUGUCGAUGAAAUGAUCAAGUUGACCUCAAAUCAGGUAGGACUACCCGCUGAACUUAA
Molecule: ribosomal RNA, 353 nt
Filed under: Amanita sp. 'grandicarpa'
Lineage: Eukaryota; Fungi; Basidiomycota; Agaricomycetes; Agaricales; Amanitaceae
Description: eukaryotic LSU rRNA
Rfam family: 5.8S ribosomal RNA (bases 1-105)
Source: RNAcentral